GACGAACGCUGGCGGCGUGCCUAAUACAUGCAAGUAGAACGCACAGUUUAUACCGUAGCUUGCUACACCAUAGACUGUGAGUUGCGAACGGGUGAGUAACGCGUAGGUAACCUGCCUGGUAGCGGGGGAUAACUAUUGGAAACGAUAGCUAAUACCGCAUAAUAUUAAUUAUUGCAUGAUAAUUAAUUGAAAGGUGCAAUUGCACCACUACCGGAUGGACCUGCGUUGUAUUAGCUAGUAGGUGAGGUAACGGCUCACCUAGGCGACGAUACAUAGCCGACCUGAGAGGGUGAUCGGCCACACUGGGACUGAGACACGGCCCAGACUCCUACGGGAGGCAGCAGUAGGGAAUCUUCGGCAAUGGACGAAAGUCUGACCGAGCAACGCCGCGUGAGUGAAGAAGGGUUUCGGAUCGUAAAGCUCUGUUGUAAGAGAAGAACGGGUGUGAGAGUGGAAAGUUCACACUGUGACGGUAUCUUACCAGAAAGGGACGGCUAACUACGUG
RNAcentral lists this ribosomal RNA (505 nucleotides) under uncultured bacterium. RNAcentral describes it as "partial 16S ribosomal RNA". It matches the Rfam family "Bacterial small subunit ribosomal RNA", at positions 28 to 507 of the family's 1533-position model. The record is from RNAcentral.